UACAUGGGGUGCAAACGUUGCUCGGAAUUAUUGGGCGUAAAGCGCACGUAGGCGGCUUUGCAAGUCGGAUGUGAAAUCCCUCGGCUUAACCAAGGAAGUGCAUCCGAAACUGCAGAGCUUGAGUACUUAAGAGGAUCGCGGAAUUCCCGGUGUAGAGGUGAAAUUCGUAGAUAUCGGGAGGAACACCAGUGGCGAAGGCGGCGAUCUGGGAAGAUACUGACGCUGAGGUGCGAAAGCGUGGGGAGCAAACAGG
Molecule: ribosomal RNA, 253 nt
Filed under: uncultured bacterium
Lineage: Bacteria
Description: partial 16S ribosomal RNA
Rfam family: Bacterial small subunit ribosomal RNA
Source: RNAcentral